AGAAUCAACGCUGGCGGCGUGCCUAACACAUGCAAGUCGCACGAGAAAGGGGACUUCGGUCCCUGAGUACAGUGGCGCACGGGUGAGUAACACGUGAAUCAUCUACCUUCGAGUGGGGAAUAACUGAGAGAAAUCUUAGCUAAUACCGCAUAAUACCCACGGGUCAAAGCAGCAAUGCGCUUGAAGAGGAGUUCGCGGCAGAUUAGCUAGUUGGCGGGGUAAUGGCCCACCAAGACGAUGAUCUGUA
This 247-nucleotide ribosomal RNA is filed under the name uncultured bacterium. Its description in RNAcentral is "partial small subunit ribosomal RNA". It matches the Rfam family "Bacterial small subunit ribosomal RNA", at positions 26 to 285 of the family's 1533-position model. The record is from RNAcentral.